UUUAAAGAAAGCGUAAUAGCUCACUGAUCGAGUCGUCCUGCGCGGAAGAUGUAACGGGGCUAAGCCAGUUACCGAAGCUGCGGAUUUGCAAUUUAUUGCAAGUGGUAGGAGAGCGUUCUGUAAGCCUGUGAAGGUGUCUUGUAAAGGAUGCUGGAGGUAUCAGAAGUGCGAAUGCUGACAUGAGUAGCGUUAAAGGGGGUGAAAAGCCCCCUCGCCGUAAGCGCAAGGUUUCCUACGCAACGUUCAUCGGCGUAGAGUGAGUCGGCCCCUAAGGCGAGGCAGAGAUGCGUAGCUGAUGGGAAACAGGUCAAUAUUCCUGUACCGAUUACAAGUGCGAUGUGGGGACGGAGAAGGUUAGCUCAGCCAACUGUUGGAUAUGUUGGUUCAAGCCUGUAGUCAUGCCUGGUAGGCAAAUCCGCCGGGCUAAGAUGAGGGGUGAUAACGAGUGUGCUUGCACACGAAGUGAGUGAUACCCUGCUUCCAGGAAAAGCCACUAAGCUUCAGCUUGUAAUUGACCGUACCGCAAACCGACACUGGUGCGCGAGAUGAGUAUUCUAAGGCGCUUGAGAGAACUCAGGAGAAGGAACUCGGCAAAUUGACACCGUAACUUCGGAAGAAGGUGUGCCUUUAGUAGGUGAAGGGAUUUACUCCCAGAGCCCAAUGAGGUUGCAAAAAAUCGGUGGCUGCGACUGUUUAUUAAAAACACAGCACUCUGCAAACACGAAAGUGGACGUAUAGGGUGUGACGCCUGCCCGGUGCUGGAAGAUUAAAUGAUGGGGUGCAAGCUCUUGAUUGAAGUCCCAGUAAACGGCGGCCGUAACUAUAACGGUCCUAAGGUAGCGAAAUUCCUUGUCGGGUAAGUUCCGACCUGCACGAAUGGCGUAACGAUGGCCACACUGUCUCCUCCUGAGACUCAGCGAAGUUGAAAUGUUUGUGAUGAUGCAAUCUCCCCGCGGAAAGACGGAAAGACCCCAUGAACCUUUACUGUAGCUUUGUAUUGGACUUUGAACAGAUCUGUGUAGGAUAGGUGGGAGGCUUUGAAGUGAGGUCGCUAGAUCUUGUGGAGCCAACGUUGAAAUACCACCCUGGUGUGUUUGAGGUUCUAACCUAGGUCCAUUAUCUGGAUCGGGGACAGUGCAUGGUAGGCAGUUUGACUGGGGCGGUCUCCUCCCAAAGCGUAACGGAGGAGUUCGAAGGUACGCUAGUUACGGUCGGACAUCGUGAUAAUAGUGCAAUGGCAUAAGCGUGCUUAACUGCGAGACUGACAAGUCGAGCAGAUACGAAAGUAGGACAUAGUGAUCCGGUGGUUCUGUAUGGAAGGGCCAUCGCUCAACGGAUAAAAGGUACU
Molecule: ribosomal RNA, 1348 nt
Filed under: marine metagenome
Description: bacterial LSU rRNA
Rfam family: Bacterial large subunit ribosomal RNA
Source: RNAcentral